GAUCCGGACAACCUUGGGCCACUUAACGAACCGAUGCAAAUCCCUCUUCGGCGGCAGCGCGCCGCCGAUACCGAACUGCUUCGGCCGCUUCUCAAACAGCGGGUUCGAGAUCUUCUCCGGCUUCUUCUUCGCCGGCGCAGCAGCUUUCCCUCCCCUCUUCGGUGCCAUUUGAGUGAUCGCUGCCCGGCGGCGGAAGGUAGGGUUUUG
Molecule: unclassified non-coding RNA, 207 nt
Filed under: Hevea brasiliensis (rubber tree)
Lineage: Eukaryota; Viridiplantae; Streptophyta; Magnoliopsida; Malpighiales; Euphorbiaceae
Source: RNAcentral